This 2471-nucleotide long non-coding RNA is filed under the name Citrus sinensis (sweet orange). RNAcentral's name for it is "long non-coding RNA (CSIN_LNC001553)". Lineage: Eukaryota; Viridiplantae; Streptophyta; Magnoliopsida; Sapindales; Rutaceae. The record is from RNAcentral.
GCGGCCAGCCCGGAAACGAAGGUGGAUCAGUAACUAAAGUUGGGAAAAGUUAUUCCCCGCACUAUUUUUGAAUUAUUGAACCCUGAAGUUGUUAUCAUGCCCCAUGCUUUGAAAUGGCUUAAAUAGGGUUCUUAGGAUAUGCAAUGUACCUCAGCUAUAGUUUUAUAAUUUUGUAACCAUGCAGCCACCAUAUAACUUUUUAUAUUAUGUGUAUAUACAAUGGGGAUUGUAACUCUGUAACUGGUCACUAGUGGUGGCACAGAGAAUUGCUUUUAGUGUUAAUUUGAAUUGUAUUACCCAGAUUUAGUCUGGGUGCUUGGAGGCUCAGUCCUGUACUGUACCUGCAAAUUCUGCUAACAGAGAAUUGUUGUUGUAUGGAAUGGAGGCCGGCGCUGUCAGAGGCGAGGCUUUAGCUUGAUGUUGACAACUUCCUCAGUUGUGAGGUUCAAAGAAAUUCUGUAACUGAUGGAUGAUCUAGGUGAAGACGAAACUCUCCGCAAUGUAAGAGUAGGAAGUAGGAACAUCAAGAUUGAUAUGAAUGAUUCAUCUUCCUUGUAUCUGUAGUUUGUUAGAAAUUACGACCAUUUUUGUUUUUUUGUUUUUGCCCUUUUACUUAGUUUUGGCGGGAUGCCACAACAGGUUGAAACACAUAUCGAAAUCGAAUGUUGGUUCGGGUCAGUCCAUUUUGUUGUACUAAGAGAAAAAAUUGAGUUAUAUUGAAGGUAAAGAAACAAUAUUUCAGUCACUGACCUCUUCUUCCCAUGUUGAAUGAAUUGUUAGCAAAAUGUGAUUCAUUAACCAGAAUACCAACCUUACUGCUAUUUAAGGCUUCAAUAUUCGGGUUCGGGGCACGCUGAAUCCUGAAGGAGGUGUUAAACGGGUCGGUCAAAUUUAGGUGCAACACACGAGUCACAUUGAAUGUAUGAUAAUAAUAAUACAUUUACAUUAAUUUUACUACUGCUGUACGGCCAAGGCGGAUGUACGGUACAGCAGUUUGGUUUUCUUUUUGGGGAUUUUAAGAUUUUGGUUUUUUGUUUAUUGACCAUUGGCGUCCAUUCAAGAAUUUUUCUGUAGCUUUAGAAAGUUGAAUGUUGCUUGAGUACUGAAAAUUAGUGCCUUUUCUUUUUCUUUUUUUUUCCAAUCAUUAAUGAGUACUAGAGGUUUUUAAAAUAUAUGAUUGUUGCUUUGCUUUGGUUUUUAAUUGGGAUUCUUGCUUUUGGUUUUUGCAGGUUUUGGGUUUUUAUCAGCUUAUGAAUUACGAAAUUGUGGGAAUGAGAAACCGGUCCACGGUAACUCUUCCAGAAAAGAGAAGGAAGAAGCUUCCUCAGAUGACGAACAGCAAGACUCAAGGAGAGGGCGCUCAAAAUUGGAACGUUGGACAAGCCAUAAGGAGAGGGAUUUCAAUAUCAACAGUAAGUCGUCAUCUUCCCUGAAGUUUAAAGAAAUUAAUAAGAAUAGUAAUGGCAGAACGUUAGAGACCAGCAAAAUUCCAGAGGAACCUGCUACAGCAGUUGAGCCUGUUGAUAAGCAAAGCCCCAUGGCUGAUAAGAAAGAUGGUAGUAAUCCUGAGAAUACAAAACCAGUGGACGAUCGGCACCUUGACACAGUUGAGAAGCUGAAGAAGCGAAGUGAGCGAUUCAAGCUCCCAAUGCCAAGUGAGAAGGAUACGUUGGCAAUAAAGAAAAUGGAGAGUGAACCUCUACCUUCUACCAAAAGUGAGACUGCUGCAGGCUCAGAAAUCAAACAGGAGCGGCCAGCCCGGAAACGAAGGUGGAUCAGUAACUAAAGUUGGGAAAAGUUAUUCCCCGCACUAUUUUUGAAUUAUUGAACCCUGAAGUUGUUAUCAUGCCCCAUGCUUUGAAAUGGCUUAAAUAGGGUUCUUAGGAUAUGCAAUGUACCUCAGCUAUAGUUUUAUAAUUUUGUAACCAUGCAGCCACCAUAUAACUUUUUAUAUUAUGUGUAUAUACAAUGGGGAUUGUAACUCUGUAACUGGUCACUAGUGGUGGCACAGAGAAUUGCUUUUAGUGUUAAUUUGAAUUGUAUUACCCAGAUUUAGUCUGGGUGCUUGGAGGCUCAGUCCUGUACUGUACCUGCAAAUUCUGCUAACAGAGAAUUGUUGUUGUAUGGAAUGGAGGCCGGCGCUGUCAGAGGCGAGGCUUUAGCUUGAUGUUGACAACUUCCUCAGUUGUGAGGUUCAAAGAAAUUCUGUAACUGAUGGAUGAUCUAGGUGAAGACGAAACUCUCCGCAAUGUAAGAGUAGGAAGUAGGAACAUCAAGAUUGAUAUGAAUGAUUCAUCUUCCUUGUAUCUGUAGUUUGUUAGAAAUUACGACCAUUUUUGUUUUUUUGUUUUUGCCCUUUUACUUAGUUUUGGCGGGAUGCCACAACAGGUUGAAACACAUAUCGAAAUCGAAUGUUGGUUCGGGUCAGUCCAUUUUGUUGUACUAAGAGAAAAAAUUGAGUUAUAUUGAAG